GGGGCUGUAGUGUAGCUAGGUAUCAUUGGCCCUUGGGGUGGGUCCGACCCCGGUUCAAAUCCGGGCAGCCCCA
This 73-nucleotide transfer RNA is filed under the name Candidatus Woesearchaeota archaeon. Its description in RNAcentral is "tRNA-Pro". It matches the Rfam family "tRNA". Rfam says of the family: Transfer RNA (tRNA) molecules are approximately 80 nucleotides in length. Their secondary structure includes four short double-helical elements and three loops (D, anti-codon, and T loops). Further hydrogen bonds mediate the characteristic L-shaped molecular structure. tRNAs have two regions of fundamental functional importance: the anti-codon, which is responsible for specific mRNA codon recognition, and the 3' end, to which the tRNAs corresponding amino acid is attached (by aminoacyl-tRNA synthetases). tRNAs cope with the degeneracy of the genetic code in two manners: having more than one tRNA (with a specific anti-codon) for a particular amino acid; and 'wobble' base-pairing, i.e. permitting non-standard base-pairing at the 3rd anti-codon position. The record is from RNAcentral. Lineage: Archaea; Nanobdellati; Candidatus Woesearchaeota.